GGGCGAUUAACUCAGCGGCAGAGUGUUUCGUUUACACCGAGAAAGACGAGGGUUCGAAUCCUUCUAUUGCCCA
Molecule: transfer RNA, 73 nt
Filed under: Candidatus Hodgkinia cicadicola
Lineage: Bacteria; Pseudomonadati; Pseudomonadota; Alphaproteobacteria; Hyphomicrobiales
Description: tRNA-Val
Rfam family: tRNA
About the family: Transfer RNA (tRNA) molecules are approximately 80 nucleotides in length. Their secondary structure includes four short double-helical elements and three loops (D, anti-codon, and T loops).
Source: RNAcentral